AACGAACGCUGGCGGCAUGCCUAACACAUGCAAGUCGAACGAGACCUUCGGGUCUAGUGGCGCACGGGUGCGUAACGCGUGGGAACCUGCCCUUAGGUUCGGAAUCACUCCCCGAAAGGGGUGCUAAUACCGGAUAAUGUCUUCGGACCAAAGAUUUAUCGCCUUUGGAUGGGCCCGCGUUGGAUUAGCCAGUUGGUAGGGUAAAAGCCUACCAAGGCGACGAUCCAUAGCUGGUCUGAGAGGAUGAUCAGCCACACUGGGACUGAGACACGGCCCAGACUCCUACGGGAGGCAGCAGUGGGGAAUAUUGGACGAUGGGCGAAAGCCUGAUCAAGCAGUGCCGCGUGAGUGAUGAAGGCCUUAGGAUUGUAAAGCUCUUUUACCCGGGAUGAUAAUGACAGUAACGGGAGAAUAAGCUCCGGCUAACUCCGUG
RNAcentral lists this ribosomal RNA (433 nucleotides) under uncultured bacterium. RNAcentral's name for it is "partial 16S ribosomal RNA". It matches the Rfam family "Bacterial small subunit ribosomal RNA", at positions 29 to 507 of the family's 1533-position model. The record is from RNAcentral.